CAGGACCAGGUCCCCGGAAGACAGAGGCAGAAAAGGCUUUUGCCUGUGGUUGGUCACAUUGUUUGCAUAAAUAGAAGAGUCCACCUGAGAGGCCCGGGGUCCUUCCAGGAGGGCACGUUUGAAGCUGGUUCCGAGAACCCUAAUUUUUAAAUGGACACAUUGCUGAACAGCUAAGAAACUACGUUCCCAGCUUCCCUUGCAUCUCUGAUGACCACGUGACCAGGUUUUAGCCAAUGGGAGGCUAAUAGAAGUGUCACAUAGAUGUGGUGGACCAACUGUUACAACGAUGCCCGUGACCCUCGGCUCCGGAGGUUGACAUCUUCGUGUGAUCUUCUCCCCUGGAGGUGGGCAGGAGCUCUGACCUGCUUCUAGAGGCAGAGAAUACAGCAAAUGUGGUAGGAUGUCUGUGACUCCAUGUGCAUGAUUACGUGUUCAUACGUACAUCACUACGUACAGAAGAUGGUAAUGUCUGUCUUCCAAGCAGCCUCUGUCUUCCUUGCUCGUUUGCUGAAGGAAGUGGCCUUUAGGGGAAAGCCCACAGGACAAGAAACUGCAGGUGGCUUCUGGGAGCUGAGGGAGGCCUCCAGCCACCAGCCGGGAAGAAACGGAAGCCCUCAGUCCCACAACCACAGAGCUGGAAUGCUCUCAACAGAGCCAUGUUAACUUGGAGUUCUGCGGGUCAGAGGUCUAAGAUCCAGGUGUCAGCCGGGCUGUGUUCCUUCUGCAGAGUCCAGGGGAGAAGCUGAUUCCUGCUUUUUCCAGUUUCUAGGGGGCCGCCCCCAUUCCUUGGCUCACGGCCCCGCAUCCCAUCGCCUUUUCUCCCUCGGCUUCCAUGGUCACAUUGCCUCCUUCGGUCUCUGACUCUGAUCUCCUGCUUCCAUCUCUUACGGACCCUUGUGACUCUAUUGGUCCAUUUCAAGACCCCUCACUGAACCACAUCUUCAAAGCCCCUUUGCCAUGUAAAUAUUCACAGGUUCGAGGGAUUAAGAGGAUGAACAUCUUUGGGGCGUGUGCGAGGCUGGGGGUGUGGAAGGCUGCCCAGAACAACGCCAGCCAUCUCUGUCACGACAUGAGCAGGGGCUCCAUGCCCAGGACAGGGCGGCGUGCUCCCCAGGACAGAAUGCUCGUCCUUAAACGCACAGCAGGAGCUUCGUUCUUCUACCCACUUUACACUGAGGAAGCGAGGAAACAGGCUCACAGAGAUUGAAAUCCGUUGCCCAAGAGUACCCGUUUGGAAGGUGGUCAGGUGCAGAAACCCAGCUUUAAAAGACUUGAAAAUCCACGCAAAAACAGAAUCAACUGUUAGAUGGCUUUGUUUUUUUUCUUCUCUAUUUUGUUUUCCAUGAAAUUCAAGGCUGGGUGGGUAAAGAAAG
Molecule: long non-coding RNA, 1373 nt
Filed under: Equus caballus (horse)
Lineage: Eukaryota; Metazoa; Chordata; Mammalia; Perissodactyla; Equidae
Description: lncRNA (ENSECAG00000054879.1)
Source: RNAcentral